UUGGAAUUUUGCAGUGUCCACC
Molecule: microRNA, 22 nt
Filed under: Sus scrofa (pig)
Lineage: Eukaryota; Metazoa; Chordata; Mammalia; Artiodactyla; Suidae
Description: ssc-mir271
Source: RNAcentral